This 402-nucleotide ribosomal RNA is filed under the name uncultured bacterium. RNAcentral's name for it is "bacterial SSU rRNA". It matches the Rfam family "Bacterial small subunit ribosomal RNA", at positions 355 to 772 of the family's 1533-position model. The record is from RNAcentral.
CUAAGAAUCUUGCGCAAUGGGCGAAAGCCUGACGCAGCAAUUCCGCGUGGGGGACGAAGGCCCUCGGGUCGUAAACCCCUUUUGCGAGGGAAGAAGUACUGACGGUACCUCGCGAAUAAGACACGGCUAACUACGUGCCAGCAGCCGCGGUAAUACGUAGGUGUCAAGCGUUGUCCGGAUUUAUUGGGCGUAAAGCGCCCGCAGGCGGCUUGCCAAGUUCGAUGUGAAAUCUCCCGGCUUAACUGGGAGGGUGCAUCGAAAACUGGCAGGCUUGAGGCAGGGAGAGGGAUGUGGAAUUCCAGGUGUAGUGGUGAAAUUCGUAGAUAUCGGGAGGAACACCAGUGGCGAAGGCGGCGAUCUGGGCAGAUACUGACGCUGAGGUGCGAAAGCGUGGGGAGCAAA